GCCAGACCCACUGGAAACGCUGCUCCUUUGAAAACCUGUUGCCACCGGCUGCAAGCACAGGCUGAUGAUAAACAGAAGGAGAGGUGAAUUCAGCAUCUCUUCUGGAACGGGGAACAUCUGCCUCCAAAUACACCCUCAAAGACCAGCUGGUGCUCCAGCCCCCUACAGUUUUGCAGAUGCCAGGUUCACGGAGGUUGCGGGAAUCCAUCCAGAAUGCAAGAUAUUCCAGCAAGUAGUGAAAGAGGAGGCACUCUGCCUAGAAAAGAAUGAAUCUGUUUCAUCUGAUUUUAAAGGUAACGGUCUUGAUUGACAAGUUCUGAUAUUAGUAUCUCUUGAAUCACUUCAGGUUUGUGAUGUGAAGAUACCAGUUACUGAAUCAAAAUUUGAUUCCACAACCCUAUUUUAUUUGGCUUGAAGUGUUUCUCCUUCUAUUGGAUGCAGCUUUACCUCAUCUGAUUUUAGACGUCUGUAAAUGCUCAAUGUCUAAGUCAGGAUAUGUCUUCUUAGAUUCCCUUAAAGUAAAUGUAGAAAGGUGGGUGUCCUUAGAAAAAUUUUCAUUGCCUUUGCCUUAGAUGCUUACUUUAGGAUGA
RNAcentral lists this long non-coding RNA (590 nucleotides) under Cairina moschata (Muscovy duck). Its description in RNAcentral is "domestica (muscovy Duck (domestic type)) lncRNA (ENSCMMG00000002962.1)". The record is from RNAcentral. Lineage: Eukaryota; Metazoa; Chordata; Aves; Anseriformes; Anatidae.